GGCGAGAUAGUUUAAUGAAAAUGCCUGCUUUACACGCAGGAGUUGGUUAGUACCUAUCGUCA
Molecule: transfer RNA, 62 nt
Filed under: Paragonimus westermani
Lineage: Eukaryota; Metazoa; Platyhelminthes; Trematoda; Plagiorchiida; Troglotrematidae
Also listed under: 1 other name
Rfam family: tRNA
About the family: Transfer RNA (tRNA) molecules are approximately 80 nucleotides in length. Their secondary structure includes four short double-helical elements and three loops (D, anti-codon, and T loops).
Source: Rfam by way of RNAcentral